AAAAUCACAAAACAAUUACAAAAAGCAUAGGAGGAUGUUAGUUACAAUGAUCAUAAGGUGGUGGUGGACGUCCUGAGAUAAAAGGGCCUCACUCAGCACAAGUCGCGGCGUGAACCACGACGCUGGUAUUAUGUGGACCCUGUUGGGUGAGGCACGAAUGUCGCGUUUCAUAAAUAUGCGUUAAUAUUCGUAAAUAGAUUAAAUAUUACCAAAUUACUUAAAAUAGAAAUUAUAUGUAAGUACAUAAUAUAUAUAUACACACACAUAUACACAUACAUACAUACAUUAUCACAAAAACGUAUAUAUAAAUACUUAAUGUUAGUAUUAUAAAUAGUAAUUAAUGCAGGUAUAAACUAGAAUGCAUAGAACAUAAUAAGUAGGAUUAUAAUAUAUUAUGUAAGUAUGUGUAUUGUGCAGUCUGUUUGUGUUAAUAUCUAUCGCGCGCGCAGCACCCCGAGUCAGCUCGGUCGGCAAAGUACUUCAAUUUCUGCCAGUAUAAUACUUAUGGAAAUGAUAUUUUUCCCAUUCGACCGUCGCGCCUCCGAACAGGCACGACGCAUUCCAAGGAAAAAGAAACGAAAUUAUUAAAAAUUGUAAUAAAAUUGCACAUUAAAUCAAAUAAUAGUGAAUAGUAGUAACACAAAAAUACAUAAUUUAAAUAGGAAGCAACAAAUUUCGUCAAAUGCUGAACACCAUCCACAAAUAUUUAUACAAAACGAAAAACGAAAAAGUGCAACGAGUAUAAGCCACGAGCCGUCAUCGCAUUCAAGGUUAAAUUUAAAACCCGGAAUAAACCUUCCAUGAGACCAUGCAAAAGGAAAGCAAUAAUUAUUAUUAUGACAAUGGUUGCGGUGCCGCAUCCAGCCCGCUGGGAGGACUCCGCCGCGCUAUCGUGUUGAAACCAAUGAGACUACGAAACGGCGGCGGCAAAUCGUUCCAGCACUUGGAUGCGGCGAACCUGAAACUGCCACGAAAAGCGGUGGUGCGGUGACGAGGUACUGCGAGUGAGUAGUACGACGCACGGGUCCUGGCAGCAGUCACGUCGCGGGCCCAAACUAGUUUGUCCGCAAGAUAUGGCGGUAACUUAAAUUUAACUACUCCGAACAUCAGCGUUGCAAAAUGAUACUGUCUGCGAUAUUUCAUUUUUAAGAUUUUAGCCUUGUUUAUGUAAGGUGUAACGUGUGUGCGGGGAGGAAUUUUGAAGCAGAAUCUAGCGCAAGCAUUCUGUACUCUUUGAACCAGUUUUUCUGAGCGCACCAGCAGCCGAGGCCCAUACACAGCGUCCAUAUAAUUUAACUUAGAUAAAACUAAAGAGUCGCAUAGUUUAAUUCGAAUGGGAGUGCUUAAAUAUUCUCGAAUUUGGUACAUUACUUUUAAUCUAUAAAAACAGUUGCUAGCAGUGUUCGUAAUGUGCUUUUCAAAAAGUAACUCCUCGUCCAUUAGCAACCCUAGGUUUCGCGAUUCAGACACUCGCUGUACCACCUCGCCUCGAAUACUAAUGUUCAACCCUUGACGCGUAAUACUCUCUAUCUGUUGUCUAGAACCCAAGACCAUAUACUUCGUUUUAUUUCCGUUAAGCAUUAGGGUGUUCGCUUCUGCCCAAGCUGCUACACGUUCCAAGUCCUCUUCUAGUCGCUUUACUGCCAGACGGGUAUCACAUGGCUUACACGAAGUAUAAACCUGUAUAUCGUCGGCGUAAACGUGAAAUUUGCAAUUUUUUAUUUCUUUCAUCACAUCGGCGCUGUAGAUGAUGAACAGAAGAGGACCCAAUAUUGACCCUUGAGGAACUCCCCUACUAACGGUUUUAGUGACAGACCUAACUGAGGAACCGUCCUCGUUGCAUAGUUCAACAAACUGCGCUCGAUGUUCAAAAUAGCUGCUAAACCAGUUUAUGCUAUCCACGCUAAAUCCGUAGUAAUGUAACUUUGAUAGUAGUAUUGGCACAUUUAUACAAUCAAAAGCUCUGGAGAAGUCUAGUAAUGCUAAUAAAGUCCCUUGGCCAUCGUCACGCGCAGCCAGUAUGUCAUCAACAACCUGCAGCAAGGCAGUUGUGGUGCUGUACCCCUUCCUGAAACCUGAUUGCACGCCCGGUAGUAUGUCAUUGUUUUCUAAGAAUGUUAUAAGCUGUGAGGCAACAGCUUUUUCUAAUAUUUUGGAUAUACAGGGUAGGAUGCUAAUCGGGCGCAAGUCUUUCAGUUCGGUAGCAUUUGAAGUUUUUGGUAUUGGCCUAACCAAUGCUUUCUGCCACAUAGCUGGAUAAGUAUUUGUACGAAUGGAGCAAUUGAUUAUAUCAGUAAUUAUAGGCAGGGUUUCAGGCAGGACAAGCAGAAGCAUGUCAAGCGAAAUACCAUCAACUCCGACAGCUUUUGUUUUAAUGGUGCGGACUAUCUUCAUAAUAUCACUUUCUGAGACCCUGCUUAAAGUAAAUGUGUUGGAUAUACACCGAUGACAUUCAAAGAAAGUUAACUGUGAGAUCUUGAUAUUUAUGUUGCCGGGAACAUUUAAAAAAUAAUUAUUUAUCUCGUCUGGGUCUUUAAAAACAUUUGCCGGAAAUUCUGGUCUAUUUUUUAUUCUAACAUUUUUUUUAAUAUGCUUCCACAGAGUGCGCGAGUCAUUCUCUGUGGAGUUGAUAUAAUAUUCAAAGUAUGACUGCUUUUCCCUAUACAAUGCCUCACUCACUACCUUUUUUAAAUCUUUAUAGAAAGUUUUAUGACUAUCCUGUUUACUAAGUCGUGCUCUAGUAUGUGCCUCGUCUCGCUUUUUCAUCAUUUGCCGUAUGUUGUACGUUAUCCAUGGGUAUUGUUCGUACCUAAUAGCCUUAGUUUUGAGAGGUGCGUGGACAUCGAACAAAGACAAAACCGUAUCAACGUAUAUAGUAACCAUAUCGUUUACACUGGACAGUGAGCUAAUAUAGCUCCAAUUUAAAGAUGACAGGUCCCUAUUAAACAUUUCUAAAUCAAUAUCUUUUAAAUAUCUUCGCGUAACUCGAACGGGCGACGGUUUGUAUUUGGGAAUAUUUAUUAGACAUGUAAUGAAUGCAUGUUUUCCUAGGUCAGGGGCAUGGUCAACACCAACAGAGCUCCCCUUUACAUCCGUGCAGACUACGUCGAUUAGUGUCUCACUGUGGCCUGUGAAAUGUGUUGGUUCAGUAACAAGUUGUUCCAAAUUAAAACACGCAAGAAAAUUAUUAAAUUUCUUAACACUGCCGUCGCGAUCAACGACGUCCAGCAUAUCAAUGUUAAAGUCGCCAAGGAGUGUAGUGUGGUCAGCCCACGAAAACGCAGACAUAGACUCGGAUAGGGCCUCCAAGAAUAGGUCUACUGUCACCCACUGCGGGCGGUACGCGGUGCCUAUAACGAUUUUUUUGGUGUUAAGUGUAACAGUGAGCCACAUCUGUUCAACACACCCAGACGGUGGGUGUGGCAGCACCCGGGCAGAGAGGCCGCGGCGGGUGUAGAAGCCGACGCCGCCACCGCGCUUACGUUUGCCCGGCGGCCGCGGCUCGUGCCGCAGCCGGUAGCCCGGCACGGCGGGGGCGCGCCCCUCAUGCCCCUCCUUCAACCACGUCUCGUUAAUUGCCAUUAUAUCCACGUUGUGCCGAUUCAUGGCCACUAAGAAUUCGUCCUGCCCCGUUCCCAAAGAGCCUGCGUUAAAUAAACCAACCUUUAAUUUUCGUGUUAAAAUCAUUUUAGAUAUAUUAUAAUAACAAUAUGCGAAAACUUAUAAAUAAAUCUCAUGAAAAGUGCGAAAAGAGUUGAUUUUAUCAAUAUAUUUGUUGUGCAGUUUACAUGUAGUGUUGUUGUGUUGUGUACAUUUUGAGUGAAUACAAUAAACGAUAUUAUACAUAUACGAUAUGAUAAUGACGAAUAGAUAACAAUACUUUUUCCUUCAAUCUGCGCGAACGUCCCCACCUGACGACAUGAGUCAUAACGACGUUGUACAAUAAAAACACAGACAGAUGACAAGAAAGAUCGCGUAACAUACACACAAACAAAGAAUAUUAUGCGGUAUAAUAAAUUGAUUAUAAUAGUGGUAUUAAUAGCAAUAAUAAUAACGCUAGUGUGCUGCUUGGGGUUUAUAUUAAACUGAGACGAGUACUUUGCUCUCGACAGCCGCGGGAGCGGGACGAACCCGUGCCGGCCCAAAAACACUGUCGAGAUCCUUUUCGGACCUGAUUCGGUUUACCGGAUCCCCUUGGUCUCGACGGGUGAAAAUUCUACCGUCACGCGUCCACACAAAUCGCCAAUUUAAGCCGCUGGCCAAUUUUCGAGCUCGGCCAAACAGCGAUCGGUUACGCUUUGUGAGGCGCUCGUUAACGUAAAACCGUCGAAACUCGCCGCGCAGUCCCAUCCCCUCAGUGGUGACGGUGCGGCGUACGCGCGCGGCACGUAGCAGCUGGUCGCGCGCGGUGCGGCGGGCGAGGCGCACGGCGAUGUUGCGCGGGCGAGGGGCGCCCUCACUCCCCGCAUGCAGGCCUCCUACUCGCACACAGCUAACUAUGUCGCGCUCGUCGACCGCCACACCCAGCUUCACGGCGCACGCUGUUACGAGGUGGACGACGUUUUCACCGCUUUCCUCCGGGAUUCCAGAGAUCUCGACAUCAUUCAGUAGCAACUCCUGGUCACGAUCAUCGAGAUCCUGUUUUAAUUGGGCGACUGUUGUCUCGAGCAUGCUAACGACGCUUCCGUGGUCAUCAUUUGCGCCGCUGCUUGCACGCCGCUCCAUCUCGUCCACCCUCGCCUCAAGUUUGUUGAGGCGCGCGUCGCAGGAGGACACCAGGGCGCGCAGGUCGAGCAUCUCCUGCCGGAACGCGCGGAACUCCUCUCGGGUUUGUCUCAUUUCCUCUCGGAACUGUCGCAGUUCGACGGACAGGUCAGUUUGCGACUCACGAUACUCCGCGGUAACGUCGAGGGCCGUGUUGUUGAGCGGUGCGGUGCCAGCAGCAACACCCAGCUCGAUGCUGGCCUGUCUGGUGGCAAAUGACUCCGACAUCGAGUCAUCCAGCACAUACGCGGCACUCAUUCCUCGCAAAGGCGUGCCGUUUUCGUUGUUCCUUGGCAGCGCAGCCUUGCAUUUCGGACAUAGCCACGAACUAUGUAUUUGGGCGUCCCUCGGGAUAUUUACGCACGCCCUAUGGUUUGCCUCUUUGCAAUUGGGGCAAAUAACACCUUCCAUGACAGACAUAUAUUUACAACACGCGUUACACUUUGCAGGCAUUGUGAUUUACCGAUCGAUGUUCUGUUAGGUAUUAAGUUCCUUAGGUUGUAUUUUUGUGUAUUUGUAUUAUAAAAUUUGGCCGAGAAGUUUUAUGUUAUUAUAA
This 5320-nucleotide long non-coding RNA is filed under the name Pectinophora gossypiella (pink bollworm). Its description in RNAcentral is "uncharacterized LOC126370349". Lineage: Eukaryota; Metazoa; Arthropoda; Insecta; Lepidoptera; Gelechiidae. The record is from RNAcentral.